CCUACGGGGGGCAGCAGUAGGGAAUAUUGCUCAAUGGGGGAAACCCUGAAGCAGCAACGCCGCGUGGAGGAUGAAGGUUUUCGGAUUGUAAACUCCUUUUGUUAGAGAAGAUAAUGACGGUAUCUAACGAAUAAGCACCGGCUAACUCCGUGCCAGCAGCCGCGGUAAUACGGAGGGUGCAAGCGUUACUCGGAAUCACUGGGCGUAAAGAGCGCGUAGGCGGGAUAGCAAGUCAGAUGUGAAAUCCUAUGGCUUAACCAUAGAACUGCAUUUGAAACUGUUAUUCUAGAGUAUGGGGGAGGUAGGUGGAAUUCUUGGUGUAGGGGUAAAAUGCGUAGAGAUCAAGAGGAAUACUCAUUGCGAAGGCGACCUGCUAGAACAUAACUGACGCUGAUGCGCGAAAGCGUGGGGAGCAAACAGGAUUAGAUACCCCAGUAGUC
Molecule: ribosomal RNA, 440 nt
Filed under: uncultured bacterium
Lineage: Bacteria
Description: partial 16S ribosomal RNA
Rfam family: Bacterial small subunit ribosomal RNA
Source: RNAcentral